UGGGGAAUAUUGCACAAUGGGCGAAAGCCUGAUGCAGCGACGCCGCGUGAGGGAUGACGGCCUUCGGGUUGUAAACCUCUUUCAGCAGGGACGAAGCGCAAGUGACGGUACCUGCAGAAGAAGCACCGGCUAACUACGUGCCAGCAGCCGCGGUAAUACGUAGGGUGCAAGCGUUGUCCGGAAUUACUGGGCGUAAAGAGUUCGUAGGCGGUUUGUCGCGUCGUUUGUGAAAACCAGCAGCUCAACUGCUGGCUUGCAGGCGAUACGGGCAGACUUGAGUACUGCAGGGGAGACUGGAAGUCCUGGUGUAGCGGUGAAAUGCGCAGAUAUCAGGAUGAACACCGGUGGCGAAGGCGGGUCUCUGGGCAGUAACUGUCGCUGAGGAACGAAAGCGUGGGUAGCGAACAGG
This 409-nucleotide ribosomal RNA is filed under the name bacterium. Its description in RNAcentral is "partial 16S ribosomal RNA". It matches the Rfam family "Bacterial small subunit ribosomal RNA", at positions 355 to 776 of the family's 1533-position model. The record is from RNAcentral.